AAGACUGGCCUGAUCAUCCAAAU
RNAcentral lists this non-coding RNA (23 nucleotides) under Cricetulus griseus (Chinese hamster). The record is from RNAcentral. Lineage: Eukaryota; Metazoa; Chordata; Mammalia; Rodentia; Cricetidae.